GGAUACCCGCUGAACUUAAGCAUAU
Molecule: ribosomal RNA, 25 nt
Filed under: Sticta carolinensis
Lineage: Eukaryota; Fungi; Ascomycota; Lecanoromycetes; Peltigerales; Lobariaceae
Also listed under: 1 other name
Description: partial 28S ribosomal RNA
Source: RNAcentral